Molecule: unclassified non-coding RNA, 304 nt
Filed under: uncultured Alternaria
Lineage: Eukaryota; Fungi; Ascomycota; Dothideomycetes; Pleosporales; Pleosporaceae
Description: sequence contains ITS1
Rfam family: 5.8S ribosomal RNA (bases 1-105)
Source: RNAcentral
GAAAUGCGAUAAGUAGUGUGAAUUGCAGAAUUCAGUGAAUCAUCGAAUCUUUGAACGCACAUUGCGCCCCUUGGUAUUCCAUGGGGCAUGCCUGUUCGAGCGUCAUUUGUACCUUCAAGCUUUGCUUGGUGUUGGGCGUCUUGUCUUUUCUCCUGUGAUCAGACUCGCCUUAAAGUCAUUGGCAGCCAGUGUUUUUGGUAGUAAGCGCAGCACAUUUUGCGUCUUAGUCCUUAAACAGCGGCAUCCAUAUAGCUACUUUUUCACUUUUGACCUCGGAUCAGGUAGGGAUACCCGCUGAACUUAA